CAGAAUCAUAUUACAAAAUUUACACAUGAAAACUAGACACGUUUAGAAAAAGGAGACAGAAAACAUCUAGCUAUAUUAUAAUGAGGAUAUAAUGUCAUAAGUACACACACAAGCUAGAUACCCAAUCACCUUUGAAAGCUCACGAUGAACAGCAUCUCCAGUACUACUGCCAAAUUUGAAGUAGUGGGUUAAGGUGUCCAGCAGUUGCUUUGGAGCAGCAGUCUCAUUCUCAGAUUCCAACAACAUAGCCUCUGCUAUAAAUUCAGCAGACUGGUCCCCAGCUUGAAAAAUAAAGCUAUCAUGCAUCUCCAGGAGCCCCUUUUUGGCUUCUUAAGGUCUCCAGCAGUUGCUUUGGGGCAGCAGUCUCAUUCUCAGAUUCCAACAACAUAGCCUCUGCUACAAAUUCAGCAGACUGAUCCCCAGCUUGAAAAAUAAAGCUAUCAUGCAUCUCCAGGAGCCCCUUUUUGGCUUCAGCAAUUGCAAGUUGAACUUCUUGAUUAUAAACCAACUUAUCCAGCCCAAGUUGCUCUUGCAUUGUAAUCAUAGAAGGAAAGCAAGGAGUUGCAUAGAUUGAGGCCACUGAUAACAAGGACGUAAGAACCUUAUUUUUCACAAGUCCAAAUUUUGGUGAUUCCAACAUUUUAAGAAUAAGUUGUAAAAACUGCCUGAGCUCGAGAGGAAUAUCCUGAGGAGUAUUUCUUAUGGUGAUUCCAACAGUUUAAGAAUAAGUUGUAAAAACUGUCUGAGCUCGAGAGGAAUAUCCUGAGGAGUAUUUCUUAAAGAUAAUGAUUUUAAAGAAGACAAUGUUUGCUCGGUGGACAGACUAUUCGGGCGCAAUGCAGGUGGGAGGUCUU
Molecule: long non-coding RNA, 854 nt
Filed under: Nicotiana benthamiana
Lineage: Eukaryota; Viridiplantae; Streptophyta; Magnoliopsida; Solanales; Solanaceae
Description: long non-coding RNA (NBEN_LNC025104)
Source: RNAcentral